AACUCAUGUUGAGGACAUUUCCAUAGGAGCUCGUUGAACAAAUCCCACGUCUCAAAAAAAGAGACUCGAUUCUUUUUGCACAAAAGUUGAUAUUUUAUUCCUAAGCUU
Dioscorea cayenensis subsp. rotundata (Guinea yam) is the source of this 108-nucleotide small nucleolar RNA. NCBI's taxonomy places the organism in Eukaryota, Viridiplantae, Streptophyta, Magnoliopsida, Dioscoreales, Dioscoreaceae. The record is from RefSeq and is a predicted model, not a curated record.